GGCGCUGUAGCCAAGCGGUAAGGCAGAGGUCUGCAAAACCUCCAUUCACCGGUUCGAUUCCGGUCAGCGCCUCCA
This 75-nucleotide transfer RNA is filed under the name Deinococcus sonorensis. RNAcentral's name for it is "tRNA-Cys". It matches the Rfam family "tRNA". Rfam says of the family: Transfer RNA (tRNA) molecules are approximately 80 nucleotides in length. Their secondary structure includes four short double-helical elements and three loops (D, anti-codon, and T loops). Further hydrogen bonds mediate the characteristic L-shaped molecular structure. tRNAs have two regions of fundamental functional importance: the anti-codon, which is responsible for specific mRNA codon recognition, and the 3' end, to which the tRNAs corresponding amino acid is attached (by aminoacyl-tRNA synthetases). tRNAs cope with the degeneracy of the genetic code in two manners: having more than one tRNA (with a specific anti-codon) for a particular amino acid; and 'wobble' base-pairing, i.e. permitting non-standard base-pairing at the 3rd anti-codon position. The record is from RNAcentral. Lineage: Bacteria; Thermotogati; Deinococcota; Deinococci; Deinococcales; Deinococcaceae. RNAcentral also lists the same sequence under 3 other names.